ACUGAACGCUGGCGGAAUGCUUUACACAUGCAAGCCGAACGGUAGAGGGGGCAACCCCUCGAGAGUGGCGAACGGGUGAGUAAUAUAUCGGAACGUGCCCAGUCGUGGGGGAUAACGUAGCGAAAGUUACGCUAAUACCGCAUACGAUCUAAGGAGGAAAGCGGGGGAUCGCAAGACCUCGCGCGAUUGGAGCGGCCGAGAUCCGAUUAGGUAGUUGGUGGGGUAAAGGCUCACCAAGCCAACGAUCUGUAGCUGGUCUGAGAGGACGACCAGCCACACUGGAACUGAGACACGGUCCAGACUCCUACGGGAGGCAGCAGUGGGGAAUUUUGGACAAUGGACGCAAGUCUGAUCCAGCCAUUCCGCGUGCAGGACGAAGGCCCUCGGGUUGUAAACUGCUUUUGUACGGAACGAAAAGGUCUCUCUUAAUACGGGGGACUCAUGACGGUACCGUAAGAAUAAGCACCGGCUAACUACGUGCCAGCAGCCGCCGUAA
RNAcentral lists this ribosomal RNA (496 nucleotides) under uncultured bacterium. Its description in RNAcentral is "partial 16S ribosomal RNA". It matches the Rfam family "Bacterial small subunit ribosomal RNA", at positions 30 to 523 of the family's 1533-position model. The record is from RNAcentral.